CAGCCGCCGCGGUAAUACGUAGGUGGCAAGCGUUGUCCGGAAUUAUUGGGCGUAAAGGGCUCGCAGGCGGUUUCUUAAGUCUGAUGUGAAAGCCCCCGGCUCAACCGGGGAGAGUCAUUGGAAACUGGGAAACUUGAGUGCAGAAGAGGAGAGUGGAAUUCCACGUGUAGCGGUGAAAUGCGUAGAGAUGUGGAGGAACACCAGUGGCGAAGGCGACUCUCUGGUCUGUAACUGACGCUGAGGAGCGGAAGCGUGGGGAGCGAACAGGAUUAGAUACCCGCGUAGUCCCUGUCUCUUAUAC
Molecule: ribosomal RNA, 301 nt
Filed under: uncultured bacterium
Lineage: Bacteria
Description: partial 16S ribosomal RNA
Rfam family: Bacterial small subunit ribosomal RNA
Source: RNAcentral